Non-coding RNA from Oryza brachyantha (malo sina), 204 nucleotides. NCBI's taxonomy places the organism in Eukaryota, Viridiplantae, Streptophyta, Magnoliopsida, Poales, Poaceae. The record is from Rfam.
AAUAACCUCAUUUUUCGUUUUUCUCCAACUUUUGACCAUUCGUUUUAUUUGAAAAUUUUUUACGAUUAAUAUUUUUAUUAUUACUAGAUGAUAAAAUAUGAAUAAUAUUUUAUACGUGACUAAUCCUUUUAAGUUUUUUAACAAAUUUUUCAAAUAAGACGAAUGGUCAAACGUUGGACACGGAAAACGAAAAAUAAGGUUAUU